This is a long non-coding RNA of Alligator sinensis (Chinese alligator), 650 nucleotides long. RefSeq lists it as uncharacterized. The record is from RefSeq and is a predicted model, not a curated record. The transcript is spliced from 2 exons. NCBI's taxonomy places the organism in Eukaryota, Metazoa, Chordata, Crocodylia, Alligatoridae.
CACCUAUUCAAGCAACAGUGGGAAGAGCUCUGCCGCAAGCUGGUGGUGACUGAGCUAACACCUGGGAACAGUGUUGGGAGAAGUGAGAGCACAAAUCUGACCAAGUGAAAACCAGUGCUGAAGUGAAGAUCCUCCAGGACUGGAUGGCUGGGAGGAAGCCAGGAAAUCGGUUCCACUGAUUCAGAGGGCCUCUGGUCAUGGCCACAAAGUCUCCAUCCUUGAUCUUGCUUAUCCUUGGGAUGAAAGUCUGGCAGGGAAAGAAGAAGAAAAGACUUCCAAAUAUCAGCACUUAAGAAUGGAAUUAGGAAGCCUAUAGAGAUGAAGAGCUAAAGCAAUAGCAACUGUUAUGGGUAGCCUGGGAACUCUGGCCAAGACCUCCAUAACUCACUUUCUGGGGCUUUUUUUAAUAAAGCUUUUAUUUUGAAGACCUCUUCCAUAGCAUGAUAGCAUAUUGACCUCUAAAGAUCUGUGUGAUUCUGAACUCAAGAUGAGGCUGUGAAAUAAAGUAAUAGUGACCCUGUCAUAUUAAUGUGGGAGGAAUCCAAAUAAUUUUUUCACCCCCCAGAUUCAGCCAACUCUGAAGCAUGGGGCAGCUAUUUAAUAAUGCAGAACAACAUGACAUCCUUUUAGGAAGGGAACAAUUCAAUGGU